This is a long non-coding RNA of Brassica napus (rape), 8419 nucleotides long. RefSeq lists it as uncharacterized. The transcript has 4 exons. The record is from RefSeq and is a predicted model, not a curated record. Lineage: Eukaryota; Viridiplantae; Streptophyta; Magnoliopsida; Brassicales; Brassicaceae.
GACAAUCCAAUAACAGUCCAUAUAUAUAUGAGAAUUUAUAAAGAAAUUCCUUGUGCUUAUACUAAACCUAAAAGAGGUUAGUAGAUAUAGAAUGAAAUCUAUACGGGUGUCUGGCUAAAAACGUCCAGCACACCAGCUAAGAGCAUCCGGCUCUCUGACCAAAAGAGUCCAGCCCUCAGGCUAUAAGCGUCCGGCCCCUUCUACCAAGGAUGUCCGACUCAUAUCCUUUGAUCACGGCUAGUAUAAAAGAUCAACCAACAGGUUGUAAUCCGACAUCAGAUCCCUUAAGGAUCCGGGAUAGCAGAAUAGUUUACAGCUGCUGUGUAACCUACACAAGACUUUGUCGUGAGAAUAAUAGGAGAUAUUUGAUCUACCCUUCCCGGUCGGAUACCAAAAGUAUUGUAAGCCCGUGGAGUCAAGAUCCAUGACCUAACAAUAUAUAUUAAGCGUGUGAUAUGAUCCACAACAACUAAGGUCAUGAGACGCCAUCAUAUGGCAUUACCUAAGGCAAAGGAAUCAAUGCCCACAUCCAUGAGUGUGUCCGGCCUAAGAGCCACAGCAAUGAUUGAUCUUGAACAUUCAUGAAACAAGUAGUGAACAUGUAUAGACAAGGUCUAUGACCUGGACAUAGAUCGACCAGAUUGAAACAUGGUCGAAUGAUAAACCAUAUUUAGUAUGCUGUCCAUAAAUACUUGGUCUGUCCGACCUAAGUAAAGGAGUUUGAUAAGUAGACAGUCACGUUUAGACUAUGGACAGAUGCAAACACGUUUUUGCAAAGACCAACAUGUGAUUCCCGAGGACAAUGUGGUUCACAUUGCUUAGCACACAUGCUUCAAACGGGACACUCAAUGUCAAGGGACAUGAGAAACGACCUAAGAGGUCUAAGUGGUCUUAAUUACGGUGCAGUAAUGAAACUGGCCGAUUACUCCCUUCCUACACAGACAAGAUAGAUCACGCAUCAAGAUGCGUAGUAUGUAGAACCUACACCGAGGUUCACAUCAGGGGGAGUAGUGCGUGUUGUACUCUUUUUCCUUCAUCAUGGUUUUGUCCCACUGGGUUUUCCUGAUAAGUUUUUAAUGAGGCAACAUUAAGCGUACUACAAAUCCUGUAUGGUUAUGGCAUCCAAGGGGGAGUGUUAUGAACAUUGUGGAUUGCCAUUAACCAAGACAAGAAGAGAUGGUCCAUCAGGCCACGACCAGGCUGGCCCAUCAGGCCACGACCAGGCCCAACCACAGCCGUGUCCAAGAGGAGAGAGAGUCGGCCUAUCCUUUGGCCGACCUUAGAUCUAGAUGUUUUCCAUUUAUCUGUUUUAGAUCUUUUCCUAUUUCAUGUUGUAUUAGGUUUUGGAUAAUUUUCUUUUUCCUAUUCCUUGUAACCCCUAUAUAAGGGAACACUUUGAUUGAGUAAUAAUAUACAGAGACAUACGAAAAUAUUCAGUCUAAAAACCCUUCGUUCACAACACUAAACCCUUUUUUUCUUAAUUAUGCCUCGACCGAGAAUAGGAAUAUAUAAAAUUAAGGAGCUAACUAACUGCAAUAAGCAAGAACAGAUAAAUCGAAAAGAACAUUGGAGUAUUGUUGUUUAUGGAUUUAGACUGAAGAAUAGAGACAUAAUGGUUUGUCUUAGCUUCAAGGGGGUUAAAUAAAAACCUAUGAGAGGUUGUCACAAAGAGCUAUAGAUAAGGAAACUUAAAUAAUGAAAAUGUCAAUUUACCUAUCGUAUCUAAGAUCCAUGUGUGUCUGAGAUAGUGACAAAGAGCCAUGUGUAUUUGAGAUAAAGACAAGAACCUUAACUGUGUCGUUGAAAAUAUCUAUCAAGUGAUGUGAAAGAAAAUCAAGAACCAAAGGGCCUUUACUAAACAUAUAUAUAAUGGGGGACUUUUCUCUCUUCUAAAAGCAUCCACGUAUGCAAAUAAUAAAGAUUGUAGGUCCCAUUUAUUGUCCGGUUUUGUUUGGUCGACUAGGUUAUGAAUUUGGUCUGAUUUCUGAGUUUAGCGUUUGGUUUGAUAGAUUAGUGAAACUCACGUUUAAUGUUAUCUUUUCUUCCAGAACUUAACCUCACCGUCUCUGCUAUUCAUAAUCUCAUCUCUUUGUCUUCCCAGUCGUUAUCUCUUGACCUUCCAUGUGGUUAAAUGUUUUUUUUUAAUUAUGCCAUAAUUGUUAUUCACAUUGAAUCCAGUAUUCACGUCGACGCCUCCGAUUCUUUCAUCUGAAAUCUAUAAAAAAAAAAGAAAAGAAGAAAAAAUGCAGCGAUCACGAAAUUGCAAGAUCUGUGGGAACGAAGCCAUACACUCUUGCCGUAUUCCGAUCCCUAAUCUCAAAGUUCUGUUCGUUUAUGAGUCGUCGCUAUUGAAUAAUUCGAUCUCGCGUUUUUACAAUGAGUUGAUACGAUAAGCUUCGCUCCAAUCUCUGUAGAUUUUCAAAUUUCCUCUUUUAUCAGAUCGUUUAGUUGAUCUUUUCACGAAUUUUGGAAAUCUGUUCUGUUUCUUCAAUGGAUAAGAAUAUUUUGUUUACCGAUGAUCUUCCUGAUGGUAAUUGAGAUUUUGCAUUCCGGUUUUAGAUUAAAAUCAAAUAUGUGUGUUAGGGUUGUAUGCGGUGUGUAUAUGUUUUUGCUUUCCAAAUCUCAUGAUUUCCUGAUACAAGAAUAUUUUUUUCUUUAAUUUGGAAAGAGAUUUGAUGAAUGAUUCAUUGUAACAUGUCUUGCAGGCACGAUCUCAGUGCUUCUCCAGAAGCAGAACAAUGUGGUGCAGUCUUCCGAGAUCGUGAUUGGGAGUGGUAUAUCUGCUAGGAACCUCUCUGAAGCUUCUAUUAACGUGACUGUUCUCGAAUCACACGAUAGGAUUUGUGGUCGAUCCACACUGAUUUCUCCUUUGGUUGUCCUGUUGAUAUGGGAGCUUCUUGGUUACAUGGAGUCUCCAACGACACCCCUUAGCUCCUAUUAUACGCCGUCUAGGGGUCACUCUAUACCGAACUAGCGGGGAACACUCCAUCUUGUAGAUCAUGAUCUCGAAAGACCCCUUUUCCUGCAUGUACGUCCUAUUAUUUUAACGAGUUAGUUGUUUGUCAUAAAAAUCAACUCUUAUAAGUAUAAUCUGGCUUUUUCCUAUCUCAAUUAUCGACUUUAUGACAUGCACGGGAAUAAAAUUCCGCCGCAGUUGGUCACUCAAGUUGGAGAUGCAUUCAUGAGAAUUCUCCAAGAGGUAAAAGCUUUGCAUUUUUGCUUGAGUUAAAAUUUAGAAUUAGCAUAUCCUUUUGUCGUAAAUAGAAUUUGACACAUGCUAGCUUGAUUCUAGACGGAGAAAAUUAGGGAUGAUACUGUUACGAGCAGGUACCUAAUAGGCUUCCCUUAAAUUAAAUAUGUUUCAUCUUUAAAUUUUAAUAUUAAAUGGUACAUUUUUUCUCUUGGUGAACACACAUGAAGUUUAUUUUAUUUACAAGGUUCAGAUUCUCGAGGUCUUGAGCCAAAAUGGCUGGUACUAUGUCUCUUGCACUCGCUGCAGCAAAAAACUAGACAGAUCUGCCGCAUCUCUCCGCUGCAACCAAUGUGUUAAUCACAAUGUCACCAAUGUAGUAAAGUACCAUGUUGAAUUAUUGGUUGAUGAUGGGAAUAACUAUGCCACUUUUGUUGUGUUCGACAAGGAGAUGCUUAAGCUCGCUAAGCAAGAUGCAGCUGCUCUUCUUCUUGAUGAGGUUUUUAUUUCUUCCCACCAACAUCUCUCAACACUCUAACAAUCACUCAAACCUCUAACUACUGCAGGUUAAUAGUGGUGUCGGCAAGAAACUCAAGGCAGAACUUGGAAGGACAGAUUUAGAUUUCCAUAUACGUGUCACUCCACACAAUUUCUCCCCAGACCACUGCACCUUCACCGUUUCCGCAGCCAGUGACAGUUUUAACACCGAGAGUUGCAACAUCAAUGAAACACCAUUUGUUGAAGGGAAAUGUGGGGACGCAUCCACUUCCGCUUCUGCCAGCAACACAUCUACGGCUGAUGUGAAAGGUGGACGCAUACACCCCCGUGAAUGAGAGUUUUUAAGCAAUGAAAACGUGAACCCAAACUCUGCUUGCGUUUCUUUAUAAUUUCUUAUAUUACUAUGCAUAUCCUAUUUCAUACUUUCCAGUUUUUCCUUAUUUUCAUGUUUUUUCAAAGCCAUUUACGGCUACAGACCUUAUCCGACGAAAACAGUUUAUAAGUUUUAAUUGUUUAAAGGGUUGACUUAAAAAUUAGUAUUACGGUUACAAAAUACGAUGAUACACCUUAACAUAAGUAAACAUGCAGUAUAGAAAUAUACAUCUCCUGCGCAUGCGCUAUCUUCAUUAGCAUUUUCAUUUAAAUAGAAUUUCCAACAUUAUACAUGUGCAUAACUAUGAAUUUACACAUCUCUACCCUUCUUAUUCAUCUCUUCUGAUAAUCACUACAAGUAUACUAACCAAACACUUGACUCCACCUCCUAUAACAAUUUCACGUACAACAUCUAUCUUUAACAUCUCCGCGCUUGCGCGGGGCUCCGCCCCUAGUUAAGAGAAUAAUUAAGAUGAUAAAAGACUGAAGUUACCCAAAGUGAUCUAAUCCAUACUCCGUUGAACCUUCGCUUGAGUUAACUAAAAAUGCUUAGUUUGAUGCCAAGAAACUGCAUUGAUGAAUAUUGUAUCACUCUUGCACACAACACGUUACCACCAGUCUAGAAAAUUUAGCUUUACAGAGACAGUCAAACCAAACUGAGCGAAAUCCCUGUUAACGGUUUAAAAUUCUAAUCAAAUGUGUUACUUUGUGAUCAAUGGUUAAAAAUUAAACUUCAAAACUGGUGGGUUGAGCCAGCCAAUGCAAUAGUGCAAAACAAAGGCAACUCCCAAAAACCCUGAUAGCAAGCUAUCUUAAUGGGCUUUCACCCUAAAAAAAUAGAGUUAAUAUCGUGUGGCCCGAUGGACCACAUAUCAGAUAUUAAACUGAUAAGAACAGAUACUACACUUGAUCUUAGCCAAAAGGCCGAGAAAGGUAUGAAUUAUUAGGACCAUCGAGCUUCCAUUAUAUACACAAGCUUCCAGAGUGAACGAUUCAUAGUUUAGCGAUGUGGGAUAAAUAACCAAACCUUUCUUCUUUAGCCUCGGCCACGUUGGGCAUAUUUAACUAAUUAAUGGGCCAAUUAACUUUAUUUUCAACAGUUUGAUAUCUAACUAAUACUAAAAGGGUUAUAUGAGGAGUAGAGAAGCUAUCCACGUCCUCAUUUUAAAUUAGCCAAUAGGGUGAGUUUAUUUGUCCACGUCACACUGGUGUUGUGCUGCUUUUUGCUUGAUCCGUAAAUUGAAGUAGUUGGCCCAUAAACCCAAUUCGAAAGAAACCCUAAAACAGCCGAGGCUGAGUCGAUGAAUUCAUAUGUCUUCAUCGUUCCAAAUUCCUCCAAUCCUGACCGUUUUACUCGCAACCCACUCUUAAUUAUUCCUUUAUGCUCCUUCCACCUUCCUCUCUUGCUCUUAUAUAAACCCGUCGUCAAAGCUUUCAUGGAAUCAUAUUCAACAACUUGGAUCGAUGGCCAUGAAAUCAGUUCAAUCCUCCGGCAAGUCUCCUCUUGCAUUGUAAUUCAACAAUCUCACACCAUGUUAGAGUUUUUAUUCUUUACCGAAGCUUGAAAGAGAAUUUAAACGUCCUCAGCCAGCCAUGUCGAAUACAUAAGUUCAAAAGAAUAUGAAGAGCCCAUCGUAUGUUUCCUUGGAUUUAUCUGUUUCAUCUUUUUGUUUCAACUGCUUUCUCUCUAUAUCCUGACAAAUUCAAUUUCUUUUCACAGCGGCUCCAGAUUCCUUGCCUUUAGUCUAUUCUGGCUCCUUUUGUGUAUGUUUAUAAUGGUAUAGUCGUUUCCAUAAUAUUUGAAGAUAUUUUUGAUGUAUUUUCACGUACCAGUUUCUAAGAGUCCUUUUUAAAGACAGAGGGAUGUUUGUGUUGGUUGUUUAGUUAAGCUACUACGACGCCGUACAAGUGGAGUUCUGGUGAUUUUCAUUCCAGUUCAUGUGAACUUAGGAAGCCAUUUUCAAAAGGUAGUGAAGAUCUGGUAAAAGCUCCGGCUACAAAUCCACCCGCCAAAGGUAUAGUGAAUUUUGAAAUCAAUAGUUCAGUCUAAAUCUGAACCAAGCCUUUCCAUUUUCUAGAUCUAGAAGUAUAUACUGUCAAUAUCGGCCAGAUCCCCUCAGCGCUAGCGUCAUGGACUACCGAAGCAAUCAACAGUGGAUCCUUCUGCCGCAUAGAUCCUGACAUGGAAACAUGGUAACAAUAGCUGGGUUUUAUUUGAAAACACGAUGUUUGCAAUUUGAUGUUUUAUUAAUAUGUCUCUUAUAUUUCUUCUGUGUAGGCUGAUCCCUAAACAGAAGCUACUAGACAUAGCAGAAAGCAAGAGCUCAUGGCUCGACAUGGUACUAUAUUUUUUCGUAACCUUCACUUAUGCCGGUUUUAUUUUUUCAAUUGGGAAAUUUUUCAUUUUAAAAUAUUUUUGCCUCAUCUUGAACUAACCUAAUUAGAAGGGGGAUUCAUGGAAUUCAUCAAUGUAGAAUCCAGAUCAAGACAGAGAACCAGAAGAUGCUAAAAAGUGUGUGUGUCUAUUAGUUGAAGGAAAUUGAUUUGAUUCCCCAUUUUGGAACUAAUCUAUUCUCUGACUGGAACAUAUGUAUAAGGAAGCUGAGGACCAUAAACAAAUGAUGCUUAGUCAAAUGUUGUGUUCCCAAGCCUGAGAGAGAAGUAAGUCCCAUCUAAAUGCUUGGAGUUCAUCUAUUUUUUUCUUCCUUUGUUUCUUUUGGGUCUGAAUUGUAGUUUUAUCCGUGGAAUAUUGUAACUGGUUCUAAGGCUAGCGUGGAUGCAUAGGUUCUUGGGAAUGAAGAAGCUUUUUUUUUUGCACCAGAGAGCUUUGGUUGUUGUUGUUACCAUUUCAAACCAGUUUAUUUAUUUGUAGAUGUUGUAGGCCACAUACAGUCUGUCCAAGGCUCGGCUCUCAACAACGUCACCGCAACUACUCGAGUUGUAGUCCAUUUUCUCAUUUCCCCGUAAGCCCUCAUCAAACAUUUUGUUGCUUUGAUUUUCACUUAUUCGGUCAAAUUUUAAAAAUAAAUUGAACACACUCCUUCAACAGAACUGUGGUGGUGUACUUUUAGGAGUUCAGUAUUAUACCUAGCUCAUGGUUCCGAACUUGCUGUGAUUCUGGUCAUAGAUGCAACUAUUGGUGCUUUUGAAGCGGGCUUAGAUAAUUUGAAAGGGCAGACAAGGAGCAUACACGGGUUCUUAUAGCUUUUGGUGUGGAGCAAGUCAUAGUCACAGUCAACAAAAUAGAUAUUGUUGCGUAUUUAACGGCCAUAUUUGAUUUGAUUAAGCUAGCAUUAGUUGGUAAUCAAGCCUAUAAGACGCAGUCAAAGCUUGGAGAAGCAAAGAGCAAAGCUGAGAAUUUAAAGAAUUAAGCUCAGGAAUCACAAAACCAUUGUGUUGGGGUCCAAAAAGUAAAGAGUUUCAAGAAGAGAGUAAUAAUGACCAUAAUGGUGUAAGAAGACACUAUUAUAUGGAGUUCUUAUCUUUGUGCUUGCAGGAAAAGUUGAGGUUGCUCAGCAAGCAGUAAAAUGUUUGAUGAACCUGGAUCCAGAUGACACUUGUGGUUAUGUGCUCAUGUCUAAUACUUAUUCUUCUUUUGGGUUGUUAGAAGAGGCGGUUGGACAGAGGGUUUUGAUGAAGGAAAGGCAAAUGGAGAAGGAAAUAGUGUGCAGUUCAAUGGAAACGAAGUUCACGACUUUGUUUCUUGCGGUGAAAGUCACCCUGAAUCCCCAGAGAUUUACAGUUUACCCGGUGUGUUAACUGGGAAGCCUCUGCUCUAAAAUCAGAAGGUACUUCUCAGUUUAGUGACCAUCUUGGUUAUUUAAAAGGCACCAUAUGAUCUGAUGCCAUCGCAUAAGAAUCAAAACAACAAAUUCAGUGACAAAGUAUAAUCUGAAUUUUGAGCUGGUGGACGAAGAGGAUUGCUGUUACUUCCAAGCAACCAAAAAACACGUUGUACAAGCUCGAGGUGGAGACAUCUUUGAUGUUUACAGAAAGAAAAGAGUCAACCAGAAAAUUUUGAAACUUUGUAGAGCGUUUUUCUCAUGACUUUUUUUCUGUAUGCAAUUGUUGGAGACUUGGAGUUUAUAAGAAAAAUAAUGUUUGUUCAACGACAAGUACUGUUGUUUGGUUUGUCUGGAUUCAUCAUUCAUGUAAUUAUUAUUAUUUCUUCUUUUAUGUGUUUCCUCUUAUAAAUGUACUUGAAUUUCUCUUAUGCUAGAAAUCUGCAACUAGAAUGGGUUUCACUUGGCUAACAAAGAAAUUAUCAGUCUUAUAGUUUUGGGAUGUAUUCAAAGGUUGUCUUUAGGAAAUGACAAUUCAGUAAUAGUAAUUACAUACAAGAUUCCCCCUCUUCUAAAC